RNAcentral lists this ribosomal RNA (459 nucleotides) under uncultured bacterium. RNAcentral's name for it is "partial 16S ribosomal RNA". It matches the Rfam family "Bacterial small subunit ribosomal RNA", at positions 338 to 795 of the family's 1533-position model. The record is from RNAcentral.
CCUACGGGAGGCAGCAGUGAGGAAUAUUGGUCCAUGGUCGGGAGACUGAACCAGCCAAGCCGCGUGAGGGAUGAAGGUACAGAGUAUCGUAAACCUCUUUUGUCAGGGAACAAAGGCGGUGACGUGUCCCCGGAUGAGUGUACCUGACGAAAAAGCAUCGGCUAACUCCGUGCCAGCAGCCGCGGUAAUACGGAGGAUGCGAGCGUUAUCCGGAUUUAUUGGGUUUAAGGGGUGCGCAGGCGGUCUGUUAAGUCAGCGGUAAAAGGCCGGGGCUCAACCCCGGCCCGCCGUUGAAACUGGCAGGCUUGAGUUGGAGAGAAGUAUGCGGAAUGCGGGGUGUAGCGGUGAAAUGCAUAGAUAUCGCGCAGAACUCCGAUUGCGAAGGCAGCAUGCCGGCUCCACACUGACGCUGAGGCACGAAAGCGUGGGUAUCGAACAGGAUUAGAUACCCGAGUAGUC